AGAGUUUGAUCCUGGCUCAGAUUGAACGCUGGCGGAAUGCUUUACACAUGCAAGUCGAGCGGCAGCGCGGGGCAACCUGGCGGCGAGCGGCGAACGGGUGAGUAAUACAUCGGAACGUGCCCAGACGUGGGGGAUAACUACUCGAAAGAGUGGCUAAUACCGCAUACGAUCUGAGGAUGAAAGCGGGGGAUCGCAAGACCUCGCGCGUCUGGAGCGGCCGAUGGCAGAUUAGGUAGUUGGUGAGGUAAAGGCUUACCAAGCCUGCGAUCUGUAGCUGGUCUGAGAGGAUGAUCAGCCACACUGGGACUGAGACACGGCCCAGACUCCUACGGGAGGCAGCAGUGGGGAAUUUUGGACAAUGGGCGAAAGCCUGAUCCAGCCAUUCCGCGUGCAGGAUGAAGGCCCUCGGGUUGUAAACUGCUUUUGUACGGAACGAAAAAGCUCCGGCUAAUACCUGGAGUCCAUGACGGUACCGUAAGAAUAAGCACCGGCUAACUACGUGCCAGCAGCCGCGGUAAUACGUAGGGUGCAAGCGUUAAUCGGAAUUACUGGGCGUAAAGCGUGCGCAGGCGGUUUUGUAAGACAGAGGUGAAAUCCCCGGGCUCAACCUGGGAACUGCCUUUGUGACUGCAAAGCUGGAGUGCGGCAGAGGGGGAUGGAAUUCC
This 665-nucleotide ribosomal RNA is filed under the name uncultured beta proteobacterium. RNAcentral describes it as "bacterial SSU rRNA". It matches the Rfam family "Bacterial small subunit ribosomal RNA", at positions 8 to 670 of the family's 1533-position model. The record is from RNAcentral. Lineage: Bacteria; Pseudomonadati; Pseudomonadota; Betaproteobacteria.